RNAcentral lists this non-coding RNA (26 nucleotides) under Rattus norvegicus (Norway rat). The record is from RNAcentral. Lineage: Eukaryota; Metazoa; Chordata; Mammalia; Rodentia; Muridae.
UGGAUUUGAAAAGGAUGGUCACUUCC